UGUGAGUGGUGUUUGGAUGUGUGUGUCGGCAGGCUCCGUGCUUCCUGCAUCGAACUGUCGACCCUCAUUCCUCUUCAAUCUUUCCCCCGCGAUCGUUGCGUCCGGGGGUGCAAUCGGGAUCCUGUGCUGCUUACCCAAAUCGAUGGAAUUCGGAUGUCGUGCCGUCCCUCGUCCGCCUCGCGCCCUGGCGGGCUGCGCGGUGGUCUUCGUUCAUGCCCGGCCUUCCAAGUGCGCCCCCGAAUUCGGUGCGGCCGCCUUGGGGCGUCGGUCCAUGAUCGUGCUUACGGAUGCGGAAAGCCUUGUCGGCGUGGGGCCGUGCCCCCGCUCAGUCGGAUGCGAUGGGUUUCGUCCCUCGGAAUGUACGACGCUCGUGCCCCGUCUUGGACUCUCCGCUGCCCCCGCGGCGCGUCGAGUCCCAUGCGGUGCCGACGUCGCG
This 436-nucleotide unclassified non-coding RNA is filed under the name Pachira quinata. RNAcentral describes it as "partial external transcribed spacer". The record is from RNAcentral. Lineage: Eukaryota; Viridiplantae; Streptophyta; Magnoliopsida; Malvales; Malvaceae.